Molecule: ribosomal RNA, 253 nt
Filed under: uncultured Pedobacter sp.
Lineage: Bacteria; Pseudomonadati; Bacteroidota; Sphingobacteriia; Sphingobacteriales; Sphingobacteriaceae
Description: partial 16S ribosomal RNA
Rfam family: Bacterial small subunit ribosomal RNA
Source: RNAcentral
UACGGAGGAUCCAAGCGUUAUCCGGAUUUAUUGGGUUUAAAGGGUGCGUAGGCGGCCUAUUAAGUCAGGGGUGAAAGACGGUGGCUCAACCAUCGCAGUGCCUUUGAUACUGAUGGGCUUGAUUACACUAGAGGUAGGCGGAAUGUGACAAGUAGCGGUGAAAUGCAUAGAUAUGUCACAGAACACCGAUUGCGAAGGCAGCUUACUAUGGUGCAAAUGACGCUGAGGCACGAAAGCGUGGGGAUCAAACAGG